GAAAGUAUUUGAAGGGAUAAUAUUUAGGAAUUCAUUGGUAGGAGCAGUGUUAUUAGCAAUAAGCAGCAUGGUUUUAUGAAACAUAGCUCAUGUCAAACUAAACUAAUUGCAUUCUACAAAGUAGUAAUUAGAAGUAAAGAUCAGAGUGUUGCAGUGUAUGUGAUCUACUUGGAUUUUGCCAAUUCAAUCAGUUUCUCGCAAUCAAUCAGUGUUCUAACUAAAAUAAAUUGGUCUAAAU
Molecule: non-coding RNA, 238 nt
Organism: Pelobates cultripes (western spadefoot toad)
Lineage: Eukaryota; Metazoa; Chordata; Amphibia; Anura; Pelobatidae
Source: the annotation of a GenBank genome assembly